This 395-nucleotide unclassified non-coding RNA is filed under the name soil metagenome. RNAcentral describes it as "partial contains 5.8S ribosomal RNA, internal transcribed spacer 2, and large subunit ribosomal RNA". The stretch from base 1 to 122 matches the Rfam family "5.8S ribosomal RNA", at positions 35 to 154 of the family's 154-position model. The record is from RNAcentral.
GAUGAAGAACGCAGCGAAAUGCGAUACUUGGUGUGAAUUGCAGAAUCCCGUGAACCAUCGAGUCUUUGAACGCAAGUUGCGCCCGAAGCCAUCAGGUUGAGGGCACGUCUGCCUGGGCGACACAUAUCGUUGCCCAAUGCCUAUUGCAGUGCAAUAGGAAUUUCUAGGGCGAAUGAUGGCUUCCCGUGAGCGUUGUUGCCUCGCGGUUGGUUGAAAAUCGAGUCCUUGGUAGGGUGUGCCAUGGUAGAUGGUGGUCGAGUUAGAACGAUACCGAUCAUGUGCAUGCUCCCCAAAAUAUGGCCUCUAUGACCCACACGCGUCUUUUGACGCUCAUGACGAGACCUCAGGUCAGGCGGGGCUACCCGCUGAAUUUAAGCAUAUCAAUAAGCGGAGGA